Molecule: ribosomal RNA, 356 nt
Filed under: uncultured bacterium
Lineage: Bacteria
Description: partial 16S ribosomal RNA
Rfam family: Bacterial small subunit ribosomal RNA
Source: RNAcentral
CCUACGGGAGGCAGCAGGGAGGAAUAUGGGGCAAUGGACGCAAGUCGGAACCAGCCAGGCCGCGUGCAGGAAGACGGCUCGAUGAGGUGUAAACUGCUGUUGUACGAGGGUAAACGCAGAUACGCGUAUCUGUCUGAAAGUAUCGUACGAAUAAGGAUCGGCUAACUCCGUGCCAGCAGCCGCGGUAAUACGGAGGAGUCAAGCGUUAUCCGGAUUUAUUGGGUUUAAAGGGUGCGUAGGCGGUCGGAUAAGGUAGAGGUGAAAUCCCGCGGCUCAACUUCGGAAUUGCCUCUGAUACUGUUCGGCUCGAGCGUAGUUGCGGUAGGCGGAAUGUCUGGUGUAGCGGUUACAUGCUU